This 460-nucleotide ribosomal RNA is filed under the name uncultured bacterium. RNAcentral describes it as "partial 16S ribosomal RNA". It matches the Rfam family "Bacterial small subunit ribosomal RNA", at positions 338 to 795 of the family's 1533-position model. The record is from RNAcentral.
CCUACGGGAGGCUGCAGUGAGGAAUAUUGGUCAAUGGACGAGAGUCUGAACCAGCCAAGUAGCGUGAAGGAUGACUGCCCUAUGGGUUGUAAACUUCUUUUAUAUGGGAAUAAAAUGUUCCACGUGUGGGAUGUUGUAUGUACCAUAUGAAUAAGGAUCGGCUAACUCCGUGCCAGCAGCCGCGGUAAUACGGAGGAUCCGAGCGUUAUCCGGAUUAAUUGGGUUUAAAGGGAGCGUAGGUGGAUGGUUAAGUCAGUUGUGAAAGUUUGCGGCUCAACCGUAAAAUUGCCGUUGAAACUGGCAGUCUUGAGUAUAGUAGAGGUAGGCGGAAUUCGUGGUGUAGCGGUGAAAUGCUUAGAUAUCACGAAGAACUCCGAUUGCGAAGGCAGCUCACUGGACUGCAACUGACACUGAUGCUCGAAAGUGUGGGUAUCAAACAGGAUUAGAUACCCCUGUAGUC